AUGACUUCAAGUGCAGCUAUUCUCGCCGUUGUCAGCGUGCUGGUCAUCGGGUCCUUCCUAUGCCAGCCGGCGGCGGCGACAGCCUGCCAAGACUGCGCCUCGUCGUGCAGCAGCGUCAACUUCGCCACGCCGACGGGGCCUUGCAGCGGCGCCUGCAGCCCGGAGCCGCAGUGCCUGCAAAACUGCAAGUCCACGGCCCUCGCUAAGUGCACGACCGCCUGCAAAAGCAGCUGCAAUGGCAGCUGCUGGUCCGGAAAAUGCAACUGCGAUCGUGUAUGCAGCGACGCCUGCGCCAGCGCCGGGAGUGAGUGCAACAGCAGCUGCAUCAACUCGCAGUCGUGCCAGUCUUGCAAGGACAUGUACACCCAGCAGUGCACCACCUACUGCAACGCCAACUGCAGCUGA
RNAcentral lists this ribosomal RNA (405 nucleotides) under Triticum aestivum (bread wheat). RNAcentral describes it as "partial small subunit ribosomal RNA". The record is from RNAcentral. Lineage: Eukaryota; Viridiplantae; Streptophyta; Magnoliopsida; Poales; Poaceae.